This 420-nucleotide RNase P RNA is filed under the name Ruminiclostridium hungatei. RNAcentral's name for it is "Clostridium hungatei Bacterial RNase P class A". It matches the Rfam family "Bacterial RNase P class A". Rfam says of the family: Ribonuclease P (RNase P) is a ubiquitous endoribonuclease, found in archaea, bacteria and eukarya as well as chloroplasts and mitochondria. Its best characterised activity is the generation of mature 5'-ends of tRNAs by cleaving the 5'-leader elements of precursor-tRNAs. Lineage: Bacteria; Bacillati; Bacillota; Clostridia; Eubacteriales; Oscillospiraceae. The record is from Rfam by way of RNAcentral.
UGAGUAAGCCAGAUGAUCGCAGGUGCAGCCUGAAAAGGCGUACAUGAGGAAAGUCCGGGCUCCACAGGGCAAGGGUGCCGGGUAACUCCCGGUGAAGGUGACUUUAAGGAAAGUGCAACAGAGAUAUACCGCCUGUGGUUUGCAGUUGUGAGAGGCUAUGGAAUGUAGCUGGAUGUGGAGAAAUAUUGACCAUAACCUGUCACAACUGACAAACCAUAUGGUAAGGGUGGAAAGGUGAGGUAAGAGCUCACCAGCGGCAUGGCGACUUGCCGGCUAUGUAAACCCCACCUGGAGCAACGCCGCGGAGGGACGCAAUGACUGCCCGUCAGUCCCGGGGAGGUGGCUUGAGCAUUGCAGAAAUGCAGUGCCUAGAUAGAUGAUCAUUUAAUACAGAACCCGGCUUAUAGACUUACUCAUUUU